GUUUAGUCUGUGAAGGAGCAUCCAAAGCCAGGGUGAGCUUCUUUUCGACAUGACAUCAGAUUAUAGUGUGAAGGAUAAGUUCGUUUCUUUCCACACGGCAAAUUUCAGGCAAUUAUUAUUUCUGUGGAACAACAGGAGUUAUUUCUCCAUCAGUGCUAUGCUGAAAAUAUUCUUGCUCCCAUGUUUAUGGUGUCAUCAUUCUAUAAGGGAGAGCCGUCAGAUACUGUCAAUGUGAGCUGCUGUAGCAUCUUUUUUCGGCUGUCAAAGGCUGAAGCUGAAGAGCAAAGAAAAGCCCAAGUUAGGAUGAACAGUUGCAUAUUCAUAGAGCAUCCAGAGCAUGUUUGGGAUUGAAAUUUGCAGAUGAUAAUUUUGAAGCACUAAUUUUAUUUUGGCUUCAGAGCUAGGGGCUCACCUGGUUGCUCGAUCCCCUGUGGCAGGAUCCCUUUUACUGGAGACAAUAAGAAAAGAUGAAUGCAGCGCAUUAGCCAUAUGCCACACCAGACACAUGUUUUAUGAGCACUUUUUUUUUUAAUCCCAGAAGGAUUUGCUGAGUUUCCAUAGGCUGCCUUAAUCAAAACACUGCUUUUCUCUGGAAGAGUUCAAGAAGAUAGCUCUCCGGGUGGUGUGCUAUCCAGCUUCCUACCAGGUACACAUUUUACACUAAUCCUUGGAGCAGUUUGCAUUUAUUUCCUUCAUCUGAACUAUAGCUGCUUCCAUGGACAGAUGGAGUGCACUUCAUGAGCCCCUCCUUUGUAGCACAGGAACCAUGAUAUAAAAUAUGAUGUGGCUUAUAUGAAAAACAGGCUCUUAUCCAGAUGUGUCUCCCGGGUAUUGAGCAGUGGCACGGCAGAAAAAUAAGUGGGAAAGGGCACUUUACUGUAAAAAAUUCUGUCUGUGGUAUUUUGCUGCUUGCACUGGGAAGAAGAAAAACCCCAUGAUUCCUGCCCUUAGCAUUGUCCCGAAAUCAGGGCUCAUAUUUUGUUUGUUUCACUCUAACAAAAACAUGAUCACUAAGCCAAGAACAGACCUUUGGCAGCAGUCUGUGUGCAUUGGGAGCAAAACAAGCUACAGUGUCUAGUGUGAGGUGUAACACUAAGCCGAGGAUUGCUACNUGUGUGUUUGUGCAUUGUGCAGGGAGAAUAAAAGCAGGAAUAACUUACA
RNAcentral lists this long non-coding RNA (1161 nucleotides) under Salvator merianae (Argentine black and white tegu). RNAcentral's name for it is "lncRNA (ENSSMRG00000020531.1)". The record is from RNAcentral. Lineage: Eukaryota; Metazoa; Chordata; Lepidosauria; Squamata; Teiidae.